UCCUCUCGUGGUUUUCCUCUUAUCUCUCCCACCGCUCAUUCAGUGUCUCCUUUUCUAAUGACACCUCCUCCCCUCGUCCUGUCUCGUUUGGAGUCCCCCAAAGCUCUGUCCUUGGUCCCCUUUUAUUUCCUCUUUAUACUGCCUCUCUUGGCAAACUUUUUCAUUCCACUACCACCUGUACGCUGAUGACACCCAGAUAUAUCUCGCCUCCCUGGAUGAUGCCAUCCUCUGCCAUCCUGCAACGUGUCACUGCUUGCCUUUCUUCCAUCUCUGACCGCUUUCUGAAAC
This is a non-coding RNA of Pelobates cultripes (western spadefoot toad), 288 nucleotides long. The record is from the annotation of a GenBank genome assembly. NCBI's taxonomy places the organism in Eukaryota, Metazoa, Chordata, Amphibia, Anura, Pelobatidae.